CUGGCCUCCAGGGCCUUGUACACCCUAGGCUUUCAUUCAUUGUCUGCACAUCCAGUGAAGGCCUACUGUGUGCCAGGCCCUUUGCCAG
RNAcentral lists this microRNA precursor (88 nucleotides) under Procavia capensis (Cape rock hyrax). Its description in RNAcentral is "miRNA (ENSPCAG00000019884.1)". It matches the Rfam family "mir-493 microRNA precursor family". Lineage: Eukaryota; Metazoa; Chordata; Mammalia; Hyracoidea; Procaviidae. The record is from RNAcentral.